UGGUCCCACCUGACCCCAUGCCGAACUCAGCAGUGAAACGCCGUAGCGCCGAUGGUAGUGUGGGGUCUCCCCAUGUGAGAGUAGGACACUGCCA
This 94-nucleotide ribosomal RNA is filed under the name Xenorhabdus innexi. The record is from RNAcentral. RNAcentral also lists the same sequence under 1 other name. Lineage: Bacteria; Pseudomonadati; Pseudomonadota; Gammaproteobacteria; Enterobacterales; Morganellaceae.